ACGAACGCUGGCGGCGUGCUUAACACAUGCCAGUCGAACGGAAAGGCCCUGCUUUUGUGGGGUGCUCGAGUGGCGAACGGGUGAGUAACACGUGAGUAACCUGCCCUUGACUUUGGGAUAACUUCAGGAAACUGGGGCUAAUACCGGAUAGGAGCUCCUGCUGCAUGGUGGGGGUUGGAAAGUUUCGGCGGUUGGGGAUGGACUCGCGGCUUAUCAGCUUGUUGGUGGGGUAGUGGCUUACCAAGGCUUUGACGGGUAGCCGGCCUGAGAGGGUGACCGGCCACAUUGGGACUGAGAUACGGCCCAGACUCCUACGGGAGGCAGCAGUGGGGAAUAUUGCACAAUGGGCGGAAGCCUGAUGCAGCAACGCCGCGUGCGGGAUGACGGCCUUCGGGUUGUAAACCGCUUUCAGCAGGGACGAAGCUUUUUGUGACGGUACCUGCAGAAGAAGCACCGGCUAACUACGUG
This 468-nucleotide ribosomal RNA is filed under the name uncultured bacterium. Its description in RNAcentral is "partial 16S ribosomal RNA". It matches the Rfam family "Bacterial small subunit ribosomal RNA", at positions 29 to 507 of the family's 1533-position model. The record is from RNAcentral.